GUCAUUUUCAAAUUGUCCAAAAAAGGGGGGAAAAAAUGUUUCCAAUCAUAAAAGAGAGAACUUCAAUUAAGUAUAUAAUACAGUGAAAAGCAUACGCUUCUUGACCAAUUUGAUCAAAUUCCUGGCACCCAUGUAAUCGCCAAACGUUAGCAUCCAAUAAAAGAACAAGUGAUUUAUUACCUACACUUAAUCCAAAAGCAAUGCUCAAAGAACAAGAUUUAUUUAUAAAUUGAAUGCUUACCAGAUCUGGUGGUCAAGACAUCCACUGAGAAGUGACUUUAAGAUCUGCAAAAACUAUAUCUCAUAGUAACUAGGGAUAGUAACUAGGGACACAUUACACUGUACAAGUCAGUUUUCCUUUACAUUUUCCACAUGAUGUUAGGGACCACCCCUUCUUAAUAUUCCCUUCUCUCAACAAGGACCCUCUUGGCCACUAAGUGGGCAAAAGUUGAGAGAAACAUGAAGCCAAUUAAAUCAACAAAAAUGCUAAAGGUACAUCAUAUUGUACAUAAAGGUGUCCUUUAUGGACACCCGGCUCCUCACCUGUGGGCUCCUGUGUGUGUUAGGCGUCUCGUCAAUGACGAAGCGCCUAGUGUCCAUAAUGGACACCCUUAGGUAUGGGGUGAUGUACCCCUAGCAGAACUGUUAAAUCAAUCUCUCUCAACUGUAACCAUGAAAUAUCCAACAAAAGCACAUGAAAGUUAAAGCAUCAACAUAAUGACAUUGAUAUGCACGCUAAUAUGGAGAUAAUUAUUUAGCCAUCCCUCAAACUUAAUUAAAAAAGAGUUUCUAUUGAAUACUACCACUGUUAGCCAAUCAACUGAUUCCCAUUACGAAAAUAAAAACAAGCAAAGGGUCCAAAACAAGCUCACAAAAGAAAAGCAUACAAAAUUCAGGCAAAUUUUGCUGAUAUAGUACAAAAGAGAGAGAGAGAGAGAGCACGUAAAACAUAUACAAUUUUAGAUGGAAAUUAAUUAAAGGUUAAAUAUUUGGAAAUAUAAUUGCAUGAACUUCAGAAAACAGAAUCACCCAUGCGGCCAUGCCCAAAAUCAGAU
RNAcentral lists this long non-coding RNA (1055 nucleotides) under Olea europaea subsp. europaea. Lineage: Eukaryota; Viridiplantae; Streptophyta; Magnoliopsida; Lamiales; Oleaceae. The record is from RNAcentral.